GCAGGUUACACCACCCCCAACCUGGACCCCAUCCAAUAGGCUCGUGGUCCCUGAUGGUCCUGGACCACUGAUUUGAGGCCUUUCUGCUUCCUUUGAUUCAGUCUUUGGCAGAGACCCAGGAGCAGGAGUCCUUGAUGGCACCUGGCCCUUUCUAGUCACCGACAAGGGAAACCUGAGAAACCAUUCUCAGAAAUGGAACUAAAUUGACACAGCAUUUGUCUCCUCCAGAGGAUACAGCACCAAGGCGCCAUCUUGGAAGUAGACUGGAGCUCUUAGCAGACCAGAACCUGUGGGCAUAUUAUGAAUAUUCAGUGAAACAACGUGUGUGCUCACCAGGCAGGAAGAGCUCAGCAAAUGGUGGCUGGUCUGGAAAUUAUUGUCAUCACUAUAAUCCUCAUCGACAUCCUCAGCCUUAUUGUCAUCAUCAUCAACCUCAUCAGUGUCAUCAUCAGCCUCAUCAACGUCAUCAUCAGCCUCAUCACUGUCAUCAUCAGCCCUUUGUCAUCAUCAUCAUCCACCUUGCUGUUCUCUUCCUUGUUGACAUCAUUAUCCUCAUCCUCCUCAUCACCAUCAACAGCAUUAUUUUUAUUUUUUAUUCUUCCACCUGUAAGAGUUUCUUUUCCUCCCUCUUAUUGUUUUCCUCUUGGGAUGACUAGUGGUGAAGGAAGUGUCAGAGGCAAUGACCUCACAGCUGUCGUUGCCAUGGGUGACACCUCCCAGAAAGAGCUUAUUGGAACUUUCAGUCCAGGGGAGUUUCUGCUGUUCCAGGAUGGAGGAAAUGUUCAAGAACUGUGGAGCAUCUGAGAUUUUUUUCCUACUUUUGAUGUCCACCUAGUCAAAGUUCAGCCCUCCAGGAUCUACAGGUGACCAAGAGCCUGCUGUCUGGUUAUGGAAGGUCUCAGCUUUGGUUGUGUCAGUGAAUGAAGACCAGGACAGUCACAGUUGUAUGAGGAGGCUGGGGGCAUCCCUUACAGUCCCUUUGAGGGAGGUGCAGUCCUUGUAGCUGGAUGACCAUAGAGAACCAGCUUCUCUGCUGAACCAGGUUCCCAAAGACACAGCUGACAAGCCUCACCCUGAAAGGGGCUUCUUUGAGGGUUGAGAAGAACAAAGCGGGAGGAACUGUUUUGUCUUCGUGGCUGAAAAGAUUUGCAGCCCCAAAGGAGCAGCAAUGCACAGCUCAUCCGAGAAAGCAUAAACCGCUGAGAACAUUCUCCCCUUCCGAGGGUCCUUUGAAAAUGAACAAGCCCCAGUGUACCGGAAACACAGUGCAGACCCCUGGAUGCCACCUUGUAAACAGGGCCGGGGGCAUGUCCAGCUCUGCUCUACAACAAUCGCCCUGUGUUGUGGGGGAGUGUGGACAGACCCCAUGCUCCCGUUCACUGGAAGGCAAGCGAGAGUUAAGUUUCCUGGACUUCUUCUGAGCACCAUUAUCCGGGGGUAGCGGGCGUAGCCUCCAGAGCCUUGGCCUGUGCAGGUGUUUGCCCCGCACUUGACACUCCCCAACCGGGUGACGUCUCAGGUGUCCGAGGGGGAACUCCAUUCCUGCAGCCCCACCAGGCUCGCCGAAAGCCUGGGCACCAGCAUGCCUCGGGGAGGGCUGAGCCCCAGGCCCGGGAAGGGGUGCCUAGCUGACCCUGGCGUGUGUGUCCUCCUGGCUCACCUGGGGCACCCUGCCUCCCUGUUGGUGUUGUUCUGUCCAGCUCUGUGACCGCCCCACUCUCAACAAUGAGGCGGCCUGUGGUCCUCACUGGCCAAAUGGACUCUCCUCUGGGAGUUUGAAUCUGUAGCAGCCACCCAGAGAAGGAGGGUGGGUGGACUCCCAGGAGCUCCCAGCCCUCUGAAGCCCAGUUUCAUCAUGGACUAUCCAGUAUCCUCCCAACAUUUGCCUUAAGUUUCCACCAAGAAUCUUAAAUGGAACAGAAGAUUUGGGGCAAUGACAUCCACCAGGGUGUCUCUCAGAAACAUGCUGAUGGGACCAUGGAGGGCCUCAUGGAGGCGGGGUCUUUUCCUCUGGGCUCUGACAGAUAAAGGCAUUGAGAGGUGAAGUAGGGAGGGGGUAACGCUGCUGCCAGGUGGGAAGAUGGGGCCCCAGCAGUUGCUGGCUCCUCCGUGCAGUCCCCUGACCUCCUGCCAGAAGGGGGGCAAGGGGGGAGCCCUCCUGAGCCAGGGGCCAUGCUUGGUGUGUCUCCUUUGACUGAAGUCACAGGACUGUUCCACCCAGAACAGCAGGGUUGGGGGAGCCUGGGCACCAGCAUGUCUUGGGAGGGCUGAGCCCCAGGCCAGGGCAGGGGUGCCCCAUGUCACCAUCCCUCAGCCCAGCAUGGCAGACUGACCAUUUGCCUCAGUUUCUCUAAUGCCAUCUGCUCUUCACCUGAGUCAAGGGGAUAAACAAUUUAGAAAAACAAAGCCCCCGAAAAAUGCAAUCUCAGCAUUAGGCAUGGUGUUAUAAUAGAGACAGCAUACAAGAGACUGAAUUCUAGAAGCUGCAAUCAACAGGCCGACUCCCUCCCCAGGGGCAUCAGGGGCUGCCGGGGGUAUCUUGGGCCCACUUACGCACGGGCAUUUCAGGGGUCACAGGAGGUGAAAAAGCAGGCUUGGCUUCAGGUUUAAGGACCAAGAGAGACUCACCAUGCUGUUGCCCCAAAUGGUCACUUUCAAACCCACCAGUGUCCUCCAAAAAAGCUGCUUAUAUUUUUAAACACCAGGGUCAAAUGUUUUAACAAUAAAUUCUUGUCCCGCAGUGAAUAAUUUGCUUUAGUUUCUGUGGGAUUAGUAGUCAUGGAAAGCUAGAGCUUUCCUUGCCUGUACUAACUGUCACUUCUGAUGCACUAAGGACAGGAUUAGGUACAGCCAGAUGACAUUUAUAUACAACAAUUUUUCUGCUAAUAAAAUACCCUACAGAUUCUUAUGCAGCCCCAGCUUCACAUGUCAGAGACUGAAAAUAGCUCUAAUCCUGACUCUCCCUCCACCCCCAGAAUGAGAAGAGCAUCUUUUUAACCCCCAUUUAACAGUAGAGGAAGCCGAGGUUCAGAGAUGGCAGCAGGGAGAUCCCUGACUCCCAUGGCCAGCCGAACAGGGACUGAAACCCAGGUCUACCCUCGGGGAGGUGACAGGCACCCUCCCACCCUCCUCCCUCUUUCCUUUGAAGGUUCAGUUCCAGAUCUUGCCCUGGGUUGAAGCAAGAGAUAGUUAAAAAAAAAAAAAAAAAAAAGAGUAAGAUGAGGCCUCACCAUUCCCAGAACACACUUAGCUUACAUUUUCAGGUGUUGGAAGCCCCGGAGCCUCACAGGGGACCACGCCCACUGCCAGGAGCUGCAGCGAUUCCCCUUUUGUGGUCAGGGAGGCCGUGGAGCCCUGGGUGACCCUGUGACUUCCCAGGCUGCAGGUGGGAUUGAGCCAGGCACUGCGCACGCAGCACUGUGAGCCGCUGGCCCAGGCCAGGCUCCAGAGAUGGGAGCUCCGCGGGUUCACAGUCGUCUGUGACAGCAGAGCUGAGGGGAGGACGCAGACCCUGGCCUGACCUUGGGCUACCUCUCAGGGUUAGGCCACUGCCUCUGCUGCAGACCCAGGCGGCGCCCAAAGCCUGGGCGUCCCUCCGCUGCAGUGAAAGGGAAAAGAAAACCGGGCUGCGGUAAUGCCUGGAGCCAAAAUCUCAGGGAGAAGCCCAGCUCCCGACACCUACCCUCUUAAAGUGCAGUUGGAUUGAAUGAGGCUAAAGGAAGUAACAGGAACCCCGGCCUGGAGGAAGGAGCACGUGCUAUGGGCCUCAGAGGGUGGCAGAGGAGGUCUGCAGGGGCGAGAAUCUCGGACAGAGCCGAGGCACAGGUGAGCGGUGCCCGGCACAGCAGCCUGGUAGAUGGGAUCGGGGCGGACAGCGGGGGAGAGCGGAGAGGGGUCCGCCUGGGUUCACACCCCAACACCCACCAGGAGCCCCUGGGAACCAGUCAGGCCCCCAGCCCAAUCCCAGUUUCCCCAGGCCACUGCUGGAACAAAAAGCCUCACUGCAGACAAUGGGCCCUUUCUGUAGAUGCCCGCUCGGGGCUGGGCACAAUCGCCGAUUCAUAAGCCAGGCAAGGCCCCACAAUACCCAGGCUGUGUCCAAGAAGGACACCGACGGGAACUCGGAGAGGCCAGUGUCUUUGGUGGGGAAAGGCUGCUCCCUGGUGGUCCACAGGGGCAGUGCGCAUGACCAGGGCUCCCAGACUUCAGGCAAGGAUGAUGGCGGAGAGACACGGCUUAGAAGUCAUCCCACCAUAUGGACGGGGAAACUGAGGCCCAGAGACAUGCAGAGACUUGGCUCGGACUGUUUUCUUCAAUGUGAGAUAGGAUUUGAAGGGGGAAAGUGAAGGAGUUAUUUCACCUGAUGUGUUAAGUGCGGAGUGAGGUAGGUGGGAUUUAGAGGGGAAAGCGAAGAAGGAGUUAUUUCACUCAAAGUGCGGAGUGACGAAGAUGAAGGAACACGAGGUAGCCGGGCAGUGGGUGCUGAGUUGGCUGACACUGGCUUCCUUCCAGAGCGCAGGGGUGCAUCCUUCCGAACCUCGCAUUCAGUGACGUCACCUUGGUGAUUUGAAGUAGGCCCUGGUGGAAGUAUUUACACCAUGGACAUCAGCAAAUGCAACCAAGACCUCCCGCUACCCUGGAGAGCUGGGUUUAAGACAUUUGCCAGCACACCACUGCCCAGGGACCAGUCUCAGCUCCAGAGCUGUGGGUUAUUGGUAAAGGAUGUGAUUUCAUUGAGCCUCAGUUUCUGUAUCUGUAAAGCAGGAAUCUAUCACUUAUGAAAUAUCCUGUGCAGGCACAAUCUUAGGUGUGGAGGAUACAAUACAACGUAAGUAAGAUAAAAGUAUCCACCUGUGUGGAGCUUGUAUUUUGGUGGGGAGACAAACAAGGGAACUAUAAUGAUAUGUCAUGUCAUAAUACAUGCAAUGAUGACAAAGCCAGGUGAAAAGGCGAUGAUGGUCAUUAAGUUCAAGAUGGGGAGGGGUUGGGGUGAGGGCUGGCCUGUCUGAGGAGGGGCAUUUGCAGUGCUGGAGCAAGCCAUGGAGGACAGGAAUUGCUCCAGUCAGAGGAACAGCAAGGACAAGGGGCCCAAGACGGCAUGUACUAGAGGCUCCACGCAUAGAAAAAGCCAGCCAUCCCCAGCGCUGUAACUGAGUGGCCAGUGGUGGGAGGUGAGGUCACAGACGCGGAGGGGGCAUACAUGGGGUGAGCGUUUCAGUCUCAAAGUAUGGACAGCCCCAGGGGCUUUUGCAGAACAAAGUGAUAAGAUCUGAUUUGCCAUUUAAAAUAAUCCUUCUGAGUUCCUGUGGGGUAAAAGACUGGAGAGGAGGGUGUGUGAGGUGGGGCCAGGAGCCCAGGGAGCUAGGUCGGGGCCCCUCUGCUAAGUGAACAGGGGAGAACAGUGCCUUGUGGUUUCCUGACAUUUAAAGUGGAGGCUUUAAGGUACAUGGGUGCCUCACAUCUUCAGGCAUUCCAGACGCCGCUUCCUCCCGCUCCUGAUUGUACAAUAACCUUUACCCUCUGUGGGGUAUCAUUCUGUGUGCAUUCAUCCUCAUCUGGGUCAUGUCUCCCACUUACUUGGUGACGACCUGGGGCUUAGAGAUACUGUGGAGCCUGCUCAGGGGACACAGCCAGUGAGCAGACACUCAGUCUCUCAGGUUCCAGGCCAGUGGGGCGUGGUCUUGGAGGGUCUGGCUGGUCAGAGUCCCUAAUCAGCACCCAGCUCUGGGCUUCCUUUCCACACCUCCCAUGCCUCUCUCCAUGCAGCUCUUUCCCCAGCUACUGAGACCUUCUGGGCCCUUUCCCUCAUCACCGCUCCCUGCCUAGGACCCUUCCAACUUCCUCAAUUUCCAACAGGAGUGAAUAAUCAGGAGGCUUCCUCCUGGGGGAUGCCUUUACCUGGAUGGGCCUGCCUCAGGCUGUUCUACCUGAAUCCAUUAACUCCUGAACCAUAAACCACAAAUUCCCCAGGGCAGGAGUCGUGUUCAUCUCUGUGGACUUGAGGGUCUGGCCCUGAGUAGCGGCUUGCACGUGUUGUUAGCAAUAAUGACAGCUGGGCUUAUGAUGCAGGUACUGUGUCACGCAAGGUGCUGAGUGCUUUACCUGUGGUGUCUUAUUUGACCUUCACAAGCACCCUGAGAGGAAGUUAAGGAUAUUAUCCUUUUCAGCACUGGGUACGUUAUUUGUUGGGGACAAUGCAAGAUAAAAAUGUGGAGCCCCUUGUUAAAGAUUGUUAAGAAUUAUUAACAAAUUAUUUAAAAUUUAUUAAGAAUUUCAACAGCAGAGCAUUCAAGCAAGCAUGGGUCCAUCUAAGUAUGACUGUGCAGGUUGAAUGCCUAUGAAGUAAACUCUGUCCCCAUUUUAAGAUGAAGAAACUGAGGCUCAAGGAGGUUAAGUAAUGUCCCUGGGGGUCAUGCAACUAGGAAACAGCAAAGUUGAGAUCUGUGUUCUUUAUUACAGUCUUUGUAAUAGUUAAUUUUAUGCAUCAACUUGACUGGAUCACAGUGUGCCCAGAUAUUUGAUCAAACAUUAUUCUGAGUGUUUCCGUGACAAUGUUUUUGGAUACAAUCAACAUUUAUUUAAUUGGUUGAAGACCUGAAUAGAACAAAGAGUUCAAUUCUCUCAAGUAAGAGAAUUCCUCCUGUCUGACUACUUCAGAAUUGGGACAUUGGCUUUUUCCUGCCUCUACACUACAACUACACCAUCAAGCCUUCAGACAUGGAAAGGAACCACACUAUUGGCUCUCCUCGGUCUUCAGCUUGCCAACUCAAUGCAGAUCUUUGCAUUUGUCAGCCUUAUAACCAUGUGAGCUAAUUCCCUAAAAUAAAUGUCCUCAUUUAAAUGUAUUUCCUAUUGCUGUUUCUCUAGAGAACUCUAAUACAACCCCAUACAAAAGUACACCACACUAGAAGAAUUGGGUUAAAUCGAAUUACAAAAAAAAGAAGAAGAUUAAACUCAUAUGCUCAUAAUUUGGGACUUUCAUGUUUGUAAUUAUCUGCUAAAUUCC
Molecule: long non-coding RNA, 7006 nt
Filed under: Homo sapiens (human)
Lineage: Eukaryota; Metazoa; Chordata; Mammalia; Primates; Hominidae
Description: non-protein coding lnc-BUB3-4:14
Source: RNAcentral